This 1127-nucleotide ribosomal RNA is filed under the name Smittium culicisoides. Its description in RNAcentral is "eukaryotic LSU rRNA". It matches the Rfam family "Eukaryotic large subunit ribosomal RNA", at positions 1 to 961 of the family's 3401-position model. Lineage: Eukaryota; Fungi; Kickxellomycota; Harpellomycetes; Harpellales; Legeriomycetaceae. The record is from RNAcentral.
AUCUGAACUCAAACAGGCAAGAUUACCCGCUGAAUUUAAGCAUAUUAAUAAGCGGAGGAAAAGAAACUAACAAGGAUUCCCCUAGUAACGGCGAGUGAAGCGGGAACAGCUCAAGCUUGAAAUCUGCACCUUGUAAAAAGGGUGCCGAGUUGUAGCUUUUGGAGGCACUAUUGAGUGGCUAAUCUUGGUAAAAGUCCUUUUGAAUAAGGCAUCAAAGAGGGUGAAAAUCCCGUAUUUGACCAGGAGUGUAAAUUAGCUGCGAUAUCAAGUGUUUUCUUUGAGUCGGGUUGUUUGGGAAUGCAGCCCUAAUUAGGAGGUAAAUUUCUUCUAAAGCUAAAUAUCUGCAAGAGACCGAUAGCAUACAAGUACCGUGAGGGAAAGAUGAAAAGCACUUUGAAAAGAGAGUGAAAAGUACGUGAAAUUGUUGGAAGGGAACCGGUUGAUGACCAAGCUUUUUUGGCUUCCUUUCGGGGGAGUUGGAGGGUCAACAUCGGUUGUUUUAUGGCUAGAAGGGAUCUGCGGGUUGACGGGGGAAAGGUAGUAAGCGUGUUGGGUAUUUAUACCUAGUGCGUUUAUGUUAUAGACCCCCACAGGCCCGCUUCAAAAGCUCUAUAGUUGUAGCGACCGAGGAAUGCAGUGUGUUUUUAUCCCUCGGGAUUUAGGGCGGUUUGUAGGGAUGCAUUUGUGGGGUUAUCUUUGGGGCUAGACAGCUUUGCUGACUAGUUCUGGUGCUCCAUAUGUACGCCUUGCAAGCUGACCAAGAAGCACUUUGGAUGUUGGCGAAAAGGCAUCAAUCGACCCGUCUUGAAACACGGACCAAGGAGUCCAACAUGCAUGCGAGUAUUUGGGAAAAGAUAAACCCAUGUGCGUAAUGAAAGUGAAUUUUAUUUAGAAUGUGACCUGCUUUAUUGUGGGGCAACAUCAACCGACUUUAGAUAGCGCUGCUUGAAAAGGUUGAGUAAGAGCAUGUAUGCUGGGACCCGAAAGAUGGUGAACUAUGCCUGAAUAGGGUGAAGUCAGAGGAAACUCUGAUGGAAGCUCGUAGAGAUUCUGACGUGCAAAUCGAUCUCAAAAUUUGGGUAUAGGGGCGAAAGACUAAUCGAACCAUCUACGUCGCUGGUUCCUGC